This 379-nucleotide ribosomal RNA is filed under the name uncultured Smithella sp. RNAcentral's name for it is "bacterial SSU rRNA". It matches the Rfam family "Bacterial small subunit ribosomal RNA", at positions 1001 to 1382 of the family's 1533-position model. The record is from RNAcentral. Lineage: Bacteria; Pseudomonadati; Thermodesulfobacteriota; Syntrophia; Syntrophales; Smithellaceae.
UGGAAACAGGGAGUGCCUUUCGGGGAACUCGGAGACAGGUGCUGCAUGGCUGUCGUCUAGCUCGUGUCGUGAGAUGUUGGUUAAGUCCGCAACGAGCGCAACCCUUGUCUUUAAUUGCCAGCAUUCAGUUGGGCACUUUAAAGAGACUGCCGGUGUUAAGCCGGAGGAAGGUGGGAUGACGUCAAGUCCUCAUGGCCUUUAUGCCCAGGGCUACACACGUGCUACAAUGGGUGGUACAAAGAGAUGCCAACUCGCGAGAGCGCGCCAAUCUCAGAAAGCCAUCCUCAGUUCGGAUUGGAGUCUGCAACUCGACUCCAUGAAGUUGGAAUCGCUAGUAAUCGCGGAUCAGCACGCCGCGGUGAAUACGUUCCCGGGCCUU